CCAGCUAACACCACCUGCCAAGCGAACCUUUUUUUAAAAAUGUUUAACUAUUUACAUAAACAGUGGAAGAAAAAUUAAGUGCAGGCUAGAAGUAUUAUUAAUAGUUAAAGACAAAAUAAUUAUCACCCAAUACAUUAGUCAAUUUACAGAAAAACCAACAGUCACUCAAACAAUAAAACUCUAGCCCAAAUCCCACACUAAGACCAUGGAGCAUCUAACAGAGUAAUAUGAGUUCAACUGACGGGUAUGAAAACCUAAAAAAAUUAACUAACAUGAACUGGAUAAAGCUAAAACGAAAGCCUCCACGAACAAUGCGGUGGCUCAACUCAGCACUAGGAUCUACUCGAGCAAACUCGUCAGCCACUAGCUCUAUCUCCCACAACGGUAUCUGCAUAGAGAUGCAAGUAAGGAGUGAGUUAUACAUAAAUAUAACUCAGUAAGAUCCUGAACCCGCCACCUUAAAUAUCUCUGAAACAAAUGUUAGAAAAUACAAAUACACCACAAUAAGAAUGAUAUAAUAAACACGAUAAUUAUACAAUAACUCAAUAUAUGUAUCAACAGAGUUAAUAAGAAUUAACCAACAAGAGUACACACUAAGGACUUGUCAUAAUUGCGGUGAAAGAAAUUAACAGAUAUUUUUACGAGUUCAUAACGACACCAUAAUGCCUCAAAUAUGUAAUGGAGCAUACACAAAGCUCGCUAAAGCAUACACAAUACCCCAAAUAUAUCCAGAAGCAUACACAAUGCUCGGGUAAUGUACAAAGGCAUACAAUAUGCUCCAACAUCAAGGCUCAGAACCGUAUCAAACUCAACAAUAAGGCUCACAGCCAUAUCAAACUAUCAAACUCAACAUCAUGACUCACAACCGUAUCAAACUCAACAUCAUGACUCACAACCGUAUCAAACUCAAUAACAUAGCUCACAGCCGUAUCAAACUAUCAAACUCAAUAUCAUGGGUCACAGCCGUAUCAAAGCAUCAAACUCAACAUCACGGCUCACAGCCAUAUCACGCCAUCAAACAACUUAAAAAAAUAAUUUUUCUACAUUAUUUAUAAAAUAAUAUAUUUGCGACUAGUCUAAGACCAUCAAUUCUGUCAAACGCAUGUUUGUCCCAACACAUGCAUCAGGCAGAGAAAAACACAUUUUUCAAAAUGAAUUUUAGAAAAACAAGUAUUAAAACUUAAUUUUCACUUACCUCGAUAAUGGAGGGUUUCUUAACUUGGCAACGGCUAGAACACCCACCAAACAACCUCAGAUAGCCUCAAUCUUGACUAAAAUUAAUGGUGGUCGCGAUUCGUGGCAUCGUCGUAAGAACAAUAUCCAUAUGCGUCGAUUUUCCCAACAAAUUUUGCCUAUUAUCAUCGCUUGGCUUCACAAGUUUUAUAUGCUAAUGAUGAUUAUAAGUUCUUCUCUUAAGCAGAGUAGAUAAACCAUAACAAUAUAUCCUCCUCCAUCCUUAGGAUGCUGCCGUCAAAGAACCCCAAAGCUACCUCCCUUCGUUGAUCUCCAACCGCAUUUCAAAAGGCCAAGUGCUUAGUCCUAG
This 1543-nucleotide long non-coding RNA is filed under the name Nicotiana tabacum (common tobacco). RNAcentral describes it as "long non-coding RNA (NTAB_LNC007934)". Lineage: Eukaryota; Viridiplantae; Streptophyta; Magnoliopsida; Solanales; Solanaceae. The record is from RNAcentral.